Molecule: ribosomal RNA, 603 nt
Filed under: uncultured Alphaproteobacteria bacterium
Lineage: Bacteria; Pseudomonadati; Pseudomonadota; Alphaproteobacteria
Description: bacterial SSU rRNA
Rfam family: Bacterial small subunit ribosomal RNA
Source: RNAcentral
AGGCUUCGGCCUUAGUGGCGCACGGGUGCGUAACGCGUGGGAAUCUGCCCUUGGGUACGGAAUAACAGCGAGAAAUUACUGCUAAUACCGUAUGAUGACGUAAGUCCAAAGAUUUAUCGCCCAAGGAUGAGCCCGCGUAGGAUUAGCUUGUUGGUGAGGUAAAGGCUCACCAAGGCGACGAUCCUUAGCUGGUCUGAGAGGAUGAUCAGCCACACUGGGACUGAGACACGGCCCAGACUCCUACGGGAGGCAGCAGUGGGGAAUAUUGGACAAUGGGCGAAAGCCUGAUCCAGCAAUGCCGCGUGAGUGAUGAAGGCCUUAGGGUUGUAAAGCUCUUUUGCCCGGGAAGAUAAUGACUGUACCGGGAGAAUAAGCCCCGGCUAACUCCGUGCCAGCAGCCGCGGUAAUACGGAGGGGGCUAGCGUUGUUCGGAAUUACUGGGCGUAAAGCGCACGUAGGCGGUCUAUCAAGUCAGAGGUGAAAGCCCGGAGCUCAACUUCGGAAUUGCCUUUGAAACUAGUAGACUUGAAUCACGGAGAGGUGGGUGGAAUUCCGAGUGUAGAGGUGAAAUUCGUAGAUAUUCGGAAGAACACCAGUGGCGAA